This is a non-coding RNA of Phrynosoma platyrhinos (Desert horned lizard), 72 nucleotides long. The record is from the annotation of a GenBank genome assembly. NCBI's taxonomy places the organism in Eukaryota, Metazoa, Chordata, Lepidosauria, Squamata, Phrynosomatidae.
GCCAGCAUGGCAUAGUGGUUUGAGUGUUGGACUAACACUUUGGAGACCAUGGUUUGAUUCUCUGCUCUGCCA